Long non-coding RNA from Homo sapiens (human), 1822 nucleotides. Ensembl annotates it as long intergenic non-protein coding RNA 2140. The record is from Ensembl. NCBI's taxonomy places the organism in Eukaryota, Metazoa, Chordata, Mammalia, Primates, Hominidae.
GCCGCCUGGAAGUUCUGACAGCGCCCUGAAGCCCAUUUGUCAUCUAAAUGGUCCGUCCCCUUCUUAAACAUCAUUUUGGCCCAAGGUCCAUUCAUGGGGCCUGCCGGGUGUUCCUGGGAAGAUGGGCAGAAAAUCCCAAGGCAAGUGGGAAAAGCCUGGCCACCAUUUAGUGCCAAUAAACAGAAGGCCUGGUUUCUUCAAAAGAAACACAAGAAAUUGUUUCCUGGUUUUGCCACAGAGAUUGGGUCACAGAGUGCCACCUAAAUGGUAUUACCAUAUUUGUGUUGUCGCCUCUUGGUUUGAAAUUUAUUCCUGGUAUGACUUGUGUCUCCCCUUGUUCCAUCUCUGACACCCAAGCCCAUGGGAUGACAACCCAGGCUGAGAUGUCCCAUGUGUCACAAAGGAGUCCUUCAGUAUUUCCAGGAAUAGUUGGAACCAGCACUCCAUCCCCUACCUGGACCUGGCACCCUCUCUACUCUUGUCAAUUCUACACUAAUCACAGGAAGAAGGUGGAAUUAGUCCAAGCUGGGUUUUCAGAAAUAACUUGUAGACAUGCAACAGAUGUUUAUAACCCUCAGAAGCGGAAGGAAACUUGGAAACCCUCUCUUUCGGUGACUUUUUUUCUAAUGAUUGUCUCUGCCAUGAAAUUCUAACUUCAAAUGAAAUCUUUGGCAGGAACCCAGGGCUGUUCUGUCAAGGUUCAGCUGCAGGACCAGAGCCCCUUCCACCUAACCCCCACUCCUAUCCUGAUGCUUCCUGAGGCACAUCUGCUGUGGUUUCUCACCAGAGAACAGUCUGCAAAAUCACUGCACCUUGUCCAACUCCAUUUUCCAACUGAGAAGACUUGGCCCAGAGAAGUGCACAGACUUGAGGGAAGUAACACAGCAAUCGGACAGACAGACAUCCCCAGAUAUACCUGCUACGGUCCUGGGAGAAAAUAGAGACCCAUCCCCAAAUACCAUCAUCCUCAUCAUUCUCUGUAGCCCAAUCAAAUGAUGCUCCAGGCCUGAGAUUUUAUCCAAUGAACACUCUGUACAUCUUUAAAAGAGAUAUGUACUUGUCUUAUUCCUCCUUUCCUUUCUUUAAAAAAAAACACAGGCCCCAGAUCCAGUCAUUCUAAAUAGGAAGGAAAAACAUAACCCACUGAGGCAAUGGAUGCUGUUUCUCUCCCUGCUCUGUGACUUUAGUUUGCCUUUAAAGCCCAUUUUCACCAUUUAUUGAUUUUAGUUUUCUACUUGUCUAUGAAUGACAACUUGAAUUAAGACAACGCAGGCUGAAAAGCCGCUAGGCAGUGCUAAAUGGACAAGCUACACUUCGUGGCAGGAUGUCUCAUGACCGUGCCACCUUCUGCCUAGCCCCAUUCUCUGGAGGAGCUGUGGGCAGACCGACCCCAGCCUGGCCGCCUGGCAUGGGGACUGGUUGCGUCAGAUCGGAGCUCUGAGAUAAGGGUGGGCCAGGGCAUGAUCAUCACCACUGCCAGCCUCGAAGCCUCUUUGCUGACCUGGAGGUGAUCUGUGUAUCAAAGGGGGCUGUGUAUUCAACAGCACUUCCAGAAGAGGCCAAAGAUCUGUCUCUACUUCAGCCUCCACUGGGCAGAAAACUAAGCCUAUUUGCUCUAGGCCCUUCAGACUUGCACUUGGAGAAAGAAAACUCACUAAGUCAGCCCUUAUGUAACUCCACUCUCCUCUCUUCCAAACCUCCUUGCUUUGGACAAAUAUUUGACAGAAAAUGCCCUUUUGCAACGCCUUAAAAGUUACAAAAAUGGUGCACCCUAUCCUUUAAUCUGUACUGUAAAUAAAAAAUAUUAACACAAACCCUUUAA